Molecule: ribosomal RNA, 679 nt
Filed under: Apiomorpha munita malleensis
Lineage: Eukaryota; Metazoa; Arthropoda; Insecta; Hemiptera; Eriococcidae
Description: partial 18S small subunit ribosomal RNA
Rfam family: Eukaryotic small subunit ribosomal RNA
Source: RNAcentral
GUGCAAGCCGUCCUCGUCGUGCGCGGCGCUACUCUCGCGCGCGUGUGUCUUUUGCGAGAUGCCCGUGUGCGAGGGUAUGCACGCGCGCGCGCAUACACGGUGAAACCGCGAAAGGCUCAUUAAAUCAGUUAUGGUUCCUUAGAUCGUGCCCACGUUACUUGGAUAACUGUGGUAAUUCUAGAGCUAAUACAUGCCGACAGAGUUCUGACCAGCGCCGAGCGGGCGCNNNNNNNNCCGCCUUGUCUUCGGACGUUUGGAAGGAACGCUCUUAUUAGAUCAAAACCGGCCAAGCGGGGACGUUGCUUNNNNNNNNGCCAUCGUCUUUCCGUAAGUGGCCCGCGCAAAGACUUGACGACUCUGAAUAAUUUCUAGCUGAUCGCACGGUCGAUACCAUUGCUUAAACGCGUACACACGCGUUAUAAUAUAGUGUGUAUAAAACACAGCGCCGGCGACGUAUCUUUCAAAUGUCUGCCUUAUCAACUGUCGACGGUAGGUUCGACGCCUACCGUGGUGGUAACGGGUAACGGGGAAUCAGGGUUCGAUUCCGGAGAGGGAGCCUGAGAAACGGCUACCACAUCCAAGGAAGGCAGCAGGCGCGCAAAUUACCCACUCCCAGCUCGGGGAGGUAGUGACGAAAAAUAACGAUACGGGACUCAUCCGAGGCCCCGUAAUCGGAAUG